This is a non-coding RNA of Jatropha curcas, 440 nucleotides long. NCBI's taxonomy places the organism in Eukaryota, Viridiplantae, Streptophyta, Magnoliopsida, Malpighiales, Euphorbiaceae. The record is from RefSeq and is a predicted model, not a curated record.
UACAUGGAUAUUAGCAUCAACACCAUUAUCCAGUCUCUUGUUUAAAAUGGACAGUUUCUAUAAGCUCUUUGCUUGCAUAACAACAACAAUGGCUACGGGCAACAAGAAGGUUGCGGUGAUCCUCCAAAUCAUAAUUCUGAUUUUGGCUCUGCUCCUAUCAUCCAUAACUGCUCAGCAACAUCCUAUUGCAUAGAUGCAUACCCAAGCAAGUUACCGCCCGGAGGACCAGGGAUGCGCACAUAAGAAGCUCAAAAUUUAAAUUAUGUGAGCAAUUACACCUAAUUCCUCUUCUUCUUCUGCUUUUUCUUCUUCCCUUUUUUUUUUUUUUCUAAUGUUUGAACUACCAACUCUAAGCUUGUAUUUAAGGCUCUUGAAAUCCCAAAUGAUGUAAGAGUAUUUUGGAAAUCCCAAAUUACAUGAUAAAAACUGAUUUGGAUCAA